GGGAGAUUCUGAAAAUUAAUGAAGCAAUGGCCAACUCCUAUGCAUUCAAUAACUUACACAUUAUAUCAGAAUCAAAAUGUGAAGAAAUCUUGAUACAGUCUCCUUGGUAUAUUGGCGAAUAUGAAUAUUUUAAGAGGAAAAGAAAGAAAGAAAGAAGGCUGUACAAUUUCAAAAAUACGUGGAUGAAGUGUCAAUGCUUGAUAUAUUAGUGGAGAAUAGAUAGGUACAAAGAAAGAGACUUGGAUCUUUAUUCCUUAUGAUCUCAAUCAGGGCAUAUGGUACAUA
Molecule: unclassified non-coding RNA, 285 nt
Filed under: Hevea brasiliensis (rubber tree)
Lineage: Eukaryota; Viridiplantae; Streptophyta; Magnoliopsida; Malpighiales; Euphorbiaceae
Source: RNAcentral